RNAcentral lists this long non-coding RNA (223 nucleotides) under Zostera marina. Its description in RNAcentral is "long non-coding RNA (ZMAR_LNC004610)". Lineage: Eukaryota; Viridiplantae; Streptophyta; Magnoliopsida; Alismatales; Zosteraceae. The record is from RNAcentral.
CCACCUAGAUAUUUGUAGUGCCUAAUUAUGGAUUUCUAAUAUAUUCUUUGUGAGUAAUUUUUUAUUUCAAUUAUUUUUCUGUUUUUAUUAAUUUUAAAUGCUGAAUAUUUUGUUGUAUUCACAGAUUAUAAAUGGCUCCCAAAAAAACAUUGCUUAAUAAGAAACGAUUUAAACGAAGUUCUGUCGACAAUGAAGAACCUACUUCAAGUCAAGCUCCGACUCC